AUCUCAGUUUUUCCAAAAAACACUUUGACUUGUUGACUUUAGUGAUGACUCAGGUGAUAUUGGAGUUAUCUCUACUUCAGGUUUGGAAGAUAAAUAAAGGGUAAAUGAUUACACUGUUCCUAAUCAGAUGUUUUUCAGGGAAAAUGCUAGUCAAUGCAAGUAAUCACAUUCAUCUUUCCUGCCGGUUUCUGUCACCAAACUUUGAUAUCUUCAAAGCAAGGUGAGUGAGUGGCACCCUUCAGACAAGAAGGAAAAGGGCAGGUGAAAUCAUCAUCUUCUAAUGAGCCCCAUGCUGUGCUUGCUGAUGUCCUUGGACGUGGAGAUUUUCAGAAGAGCCAUGGCCUUACCAUUGAAGGCUACACAGAGGCCACUGGAGUGAAGUAACUCAUUGUACCUUAUCACAUUUAGGCACUUCUUUAUCCAUCAUGUGGAUUAUUGGGAUUGGAAUGAGUCCCUUCAACAAUGAGUCAAUAUUGAAGAUUCUAUGGAUCCAUUUAUUGACACAUAUUGGGUAUUCUCUGAACACAUUCAUUAACUUCAAAACUGUUUCUUGGACAUUGUGCUAGGUGCUAAGGAAACACAAAUGAAAGGUAGAAUUCGUGUCUUCCGGGUGCUCACUGUUGGGUCUGAUGCCAUACAACUGUUGUGAACAUGCAAGAGAAGUGUAGGCUGUGGUUCUUGCCCGCAGCCUGAGCAGCACAGUCCUGAGGUGGAAGCGUUUCCAGAUGGCAGCGGUGUCCAUGUCUUUUUUACUCUUGAUUCCCAGCACCUGCCUGCUGCACAGCACCACUGGGCCCCAAACCUGAGCACUGAUGGGGUGCUCUGGACCAGCCCAUCACUCAAUGCAUAGCUUCCCUCUGCAUCUGGUGUCUGCUUGAGGAUGUGGAGCUAUGUGGGCCUCUCCAGCACUCUGGCAGCCCAUGGAAUAUUGUCGCUUCGCACUGAUUACUAAGAGAUUUUCUCUGCCUGCCUUGUAACCUCACCAGCAAACCCAGAUUUUGCCCUCAGGAGCUACACAGUAUCCAGACUAAAUCCCUGGUCUCUAUAUUAUGCUUUAGGUAUUUAGAGACAUCUGUGCUCUAUCUUGUUCUCUUCUCUGGCCUCCAAGAACCCUAUUCUUUUAGAUACUUCUCAGGUGAAUUAGUUUUGAGACUACAUCAUUAUCCUAUUGACCAGGCAGGACUAGCACCAAUGAUUCAAUAAUAGGAUGAAUCAUCCUGUGAUUAGAAGUGAAAUUAAUUCUAUAGCUACCGAGGCUUAUCUGGACCCUCAGAAGGAUUAGCAGUGAAACCAACAAACAGGUCCUUCUUCUCCAUAGAUUGCCUUGAUGAGACUUAUUGGAUGUUGAGAGGGAAAAUGUAUGAGGCUAAUGGAAGACCCGUAAGAGGGGCUAAGCCUUCCACUCUACUUGGAUCUGGCAUGGCUCUUGGCUGUAGCAUUUCUUCACUCAUUGUAGUCUGAUCUCUUGAAUACACUUAAGGAUGUGGGGAGUCUUUGCCUCUCACGUUCUUGCUAGAAUAGUAGAAGGAGACAACUUGAAGUUGAGAGAGUGCAGAUGACAGGGCCAGGGCAGCUAAUUGGGUGAUUUUCUAUCUGUGCUGGGAUUAUGCAACAGGCAGCGAGAUCAUUUGGUGGGUUAAGCAACAGAUUGAGUUUCCAGAAUACAGAUUCUAAUGGAGACUGAGCCGUGGGAGGAUGGAUACUUGCAGGAAGGUUAGGGGAUUUGCACAGCCGGCAAGUGGCAGAGGCAGAAUUCUGAACAGGAUCUAAAUCCUGCCCUGUGUUCUGUGCCCCACAGUGCGACAACUCCUGCGUCACUCCAUCAGGGUGGGUUUCCCCAAACAGAAGCCUAGACUGGUUCAGGAAACAGUGCAAGUGCUGGCACUUAUAAAAUCACCUAGAAUCAUGCCAUAGUGACACAGAUGAGAGACAACAUAAAAAGAAAAAGGCAUUUUUCUUUUAAAAACCUCACCAUUUCUACCUUCAACUGGCUGUCCUGAAGUCUGCGUUUGAAAUUGUAUGUCUAUGAACAUGAUAUGACUGCCAUUAUUUAUGUUAACUCAGCAUAUCAUGAAUGACAUGCUAAUGUAUAUUUUGUUGCAUUCCUUGAUUUGCAUAAAUAUUGAGCUUUGACACUU
Sapajus apella (tufted capuchin) is the source of this 2138-nucleotide long non-coding RNA. RefSeq lists it as uncharacterized. The record is from RefSeq and is a predicted model, not a curated record. NCBI's taxonomy places the organism in Eukaryota, Metazoa, Chordata, Mammalia, Primates, Cebidae. The transcript has 2 exons.